CGAACGCUGGCGGCGUGCCUAACACAUGCAAGUCGAACGAGAAAGCUCCCUUCGGGGGGUGAGUACAGUGGCAGACGGGUGAGUAAUACGUGGGUAACCGACCCGGAGGUGUGGAAUAACUCUUCGAAAGGAGGGCUAAUACCGCAUGAUAUCUCGAGCACCUCGGAGUUCGAGAUCAAAGUCAGCCUCUACCUGUAAGCUGGCGCCACCGGAAGGGCCCGCGUCCCAUUAGCUUGUUGGUGAGGUAACGGCUCACCAAGGCCGCGAUGGGUAGCCGGCCUGAGAGGGUGUUCGGCCACACUGGAACUGAGACACGGUCCAGACUCCUACGGGAGGCAGCAGUGAGGAAUUUUGCGCAAUGGGCGAAAGCCUGACGCAGCGACGCCGCGUGGAGGACGAAGGUCUUCGGAUCGUAAACUCCUGUCAAGCGGGACGAACCCUGCGGGGAUGAAUAAGCCCCGCAACUGACGGUACCGCUGGAGGAAGCCCCGGCUAACUCCGUG
This 503-nucleotide ribosomal RNA is filed under the name uncultured bacterium. RNAcentral describes it as "bacterial SSU rRNA". It matches the Rfam family "Bacterial small subunit ribosomal RNA", at positions 30 to 507 of the family's 1533-position model. The record is from RNAcentral.